Molecule: ribosomal RNA, 484 nt
Filed under: uncultured bacterium
Lineage: Bacteria
Description: partial 16S ribosomal RNA
Rfam family: Bacterial small subunit ribosomal RNA
Source: RNAcentral
AUUGAACGCUGGCGGCAGGCCUAACACAUGCAAGUCGAGCGGAUGAAGGGAGCUUGCUCCUGGAUUCAGCGGCGGACGGGUGAGUAAUGCCUAGGAAUCUGCCUGGUAGUGGGGGAUAACAUCCGGAAACGGGCGCUAAUACCGCAUACGUCCUGAGGGAGAAAGUGGGGGAUCUUCGAACCUCACGCUAUCAGAUGAGCCUAGGUCGGAUUAGCUAGUUGGUGGGGUAAAGGCCUACCAAGGCGACGAUCCGUAACUGGUCUGAGAGGAUGAUCAGUCACACUGGAACUGAGACACGGUCCAGACUCCUACGGGAGGCAGCAGUGGGGAAUAUUGGACAAUGGGCGAAAGCCUGAUCCAGCCAUGCCGCGUGUGUGAAGAAGGUCUUCGGAUUGUAAAGCACUUUAAGUUGGGAGGAAGGGCAGUAAGUUAAUACCUUGCUGUUUUGACGUUACCAACAGAAUAAGCACCGGCUAACUUCGUG